This 497-nucleotide ribosomal RNA is filed under the name uncultured bacterium. RNAcentral describes it as "partial 16S ribosomal RNA". It matches the Rfam family "Bacterial small subunit ribosomal RNA", at positions 28 to 507 of the family's 1533-position model. The record is from RNAcentral.
GAUGAACGCUGGCGGCGUGCCUAACACAUGCAAGUCGAGCGAACAGACGAGGAGCUUGCUCCUCUGACGUUAGCGGCGCACGGGUGAGUAACACGUGGAUAACCUACCUAUAAGACUGGGAUAACUUCGGGAAACCGGAGCUAAUACCGGAGAAUAUAUUGAACCGCAUGGUUCAAUAGUGAAAGACGGUGUUGCUGUCACGUAUAGAUGGAUCCCGGCGGCAUUAGCUAGUUGGGAGGGUAACGGCUUACCAAGGCGAGGAUGCGUAGCCGACCUGAGAGAGUGAUCGGCCACCUUGGAACUGGAACACGGUCAAGACUCCUACGGGAGGCAGCAGUAGGGAAUCUGCGGCAAUGGGCGAAAACCUGACGGAGCAAGGGCGCGUGAGUGAUGAAGGUCUUCGGAGCGUAAAACUCUGUUAUUAGUGAAGAACAAAUGUGUACGUAGCUGUGGACGUCUUGACGGUACCUAGUCAAGAAGCAACGGCUAACUACGUG